RNAcentral lists this ribosomal RNA (368 nucleotides) under uncultured organism. Its description in RNAcentral is "bacterial SSU rRNA". It matches the Rfam family "Bacterial small subunit ribosomal RNA", at positions 526 to 896 of the family's 1533-position model. The record is from RNAcentral.
CGAAGGGGGCUAGCGUUGUUCGGAAUUACUGGGCGUAAAGCGUAGGUAGGCGGUUUUUCAAGUCAGGGGUGAAAUCCCAGAGCUCAACUCUGGAAUUGCCUCUGAAACUGAAAGGCUAGAGAAAGUUAGAGGCAAGUGGAAUUCCUAGUGUAGGAGUGAAAUCCGUAGAUAUUAGGAGGAACAUCAAUGGCGAAGGCAGCUUGCUGGGACUUUUCUGACGCUGAGCUACGAAAGCGUGGGUAGCAAACAGGAUUAGAUACCCUGGUAGUCCACGCCCUAAACGAUGGAUGCUAGAUGUCGGGACGUAAGUUUCGGUAUCGUAGCUAACGCGUUAAGCAUCCCGCCUGGGGAGUACGGUCGCAAGAUUA